RNAcentral lists this ribosomal RNA (400 nucleotides) under uncultured bacterium. Its description in RNAcentral is "bacterial SSU rRNA". It matches the Rfam family "Bacterial small subunit ribosomal RNA", at positions 34 to 429 of the family's 1533-position model. The record is from RNAcentral.
GGCGAAUUCACUAGUGAUUCAGGCCUAACACAUGCAAGUCGAACGGUAACAGGUCUUCGGAUGCUGACGAGUGGCGAACGGGUGAGUAAUACAUCGGAACGUGCCCAGUAAUGGGGGAUAGCCCGGCGAAAGCCGGAUUAAUACCGCAUACGCCCUGAGGGGGAAAGUGGGGGACCGCAAGGCCUCACGUUAUUGGAGCGGCCGAUGGCUGAUUAGCUAGUUGGUAGGGUAAAGGCCUACCAAGGCGACGAUCAGUAGCUGGUCUGAGAGGACGAUCAGCCACACUGGGACUGAGACACGGCCCAGACUCCUACGGGAGGCAGCAGUGGGGAAUUUUGGACAAUGGGGGAAACCCUGAUCCAGCAAGGCCGCGUGUGCGAAGAAGGCCUUCGGGUGUAAA